This is a long non-coding RNA of Triticum aestivum (bread wheat), 1038 nucleotides long. RefSeq lists it as uncharacterized. The record is from RefSeq and is a predicted model, not a curated record. NCBI's taxonomy places the organism in Eukaryota, Viridiplantae, Streptophyta, Magnoliopsida, Poales, Poaceae. The transcript has 2 exons.
AGAAGAAAGAAUGGUUGCAACGUAAAUUUACCUCACGCAUAGGCCUAGCCAAAAAAAGAAACCGGACUUGUGAGGUAAAUUUACCUACGUCUCUUACUGCAAAAAUAAUAGGGAGAAACCCCACUCUAUGGAUCGUGGGACGGUGGGAGGUCUCUGCCACUUUCCAAACCGUCUCCGUCAGACGGACUGUUCACCGCCGCUACCCCCGACCUGCUCCGCGCCAGCCAUGGCGGUUCCUUUUCCUCGGAGGCCAGCGGAGCAUGUCACUGUAUCCCUGCGGCGGCGAACUAGCUGCGGUGGCUUUGCAGAAGGAGAAUAGGUAGUCAUGCCAGCGGGAUCCGGGCGGGAUCCAAUUCAGCGGAAGCGGCAGCGCCAAGUCUGACCUCGACCUCAACGCCAGGGCGGCGCUCGAUCGUGUCGACGCACUCCGCGAGCUCAGGACUGUGUUUCUCUCCUCUCCCACCCUCGUCUCCUUGGUUGAAAGGAUCCAGAGAUCUCGCCGGCCCCCGUUGAGUCAUCAUGAUGCAGCAGCUGCAAGGACCGCGAGAAAGCACAUGGUGCUGUAUUGCGGUAAUGCCGGGAUGCUCAUGUCACUUAUGAGAAUGAGCACAACCACAAGCACGUUCAGCUGCUCAACCUGUUGAUGAUCGCCGCGAAUUCAGAAGCCCAACUGAAGCUACCAGUUCCAUAAGAAGUUGAAGAACUCUAAAUUUUUAUGCCAUGGAUUGAACAUGUCAUUCAGCUGUUCUUUGGUUAUUUAGUCUGACAAAAAGCAAAAUUUCUAACAAAAGGGCAAAGAUUUCACCGCCAUAUUUUUCAUGAUGUAUAGUGAAUACUUGAUUGGGGUGCAAUGCAUUUACCUUUCAAAAUAUUCUAUCGAUAAAAUCGUUCCAUGUGAGAGCUUGUCGAAUUUACUUGUAGAAGUACCACUGGAAGUUUGUUCUAAUUUGUGUGUGCUUUUCAGCAGAUUGUAAUAGGCUUGUCAACAAGUAUCUUUGUUGAGUGUAUCCGAGAAAAAUUGUGUUUAUUUCUUGGUUU